AUGCUUUCCUGGGAAGCACAUGUACUAAAAUUAGAAGGCUACAGAGAAGAAUAGUAUGGCCCUUGUGCAAUAUGAAGCACUCCAUAUUUUU
This is a small nuclear RNA of Pteropus vampyrus (large flying fox), 91 nucleotides long. Lineage: Eukaryota; Metazoa; Chordata; Mammalia; Chiroptera; Pteropodidae. The record is from Ensembl.